CCGAGUUAGGGUCCUCACAGGCCCGACCUCACCAACCCAUUGUUUAUGAUACUCAGUGUUGCUUCGGCAGGCCUGGUCUUUGACCUGCCGGAAGGGCCGUAACACGCCCCCCGGAGAGCGCCUUCCGACGGCCCCAACUUCAAAAUUCUUAACUAAACAUGUCUUGUCUAAGUAAAGUCUUUAAUAAAGCA
Molecule: unclassified non-coding RNA, 191 nt
Filed under: soil metagenome
Description: partial internal transcribed spacer 1
Source: RNAcentral